CGGAAGCACUGAAUCCAUGAUUUAAAGAAAACUCGAUACGUAGUUCAUAGUUGUAGAUAUUUUCUUCUCUCUCUUCAUCUUUACGAGUUCAAUCACUUCUGCCUAAAGCCUUUAGCUCAACAUUUUCCCUUUAUCGGGUAACCGCGAUUAUGCUUCGAGAUCUUCAUUCGCCAUCGCUCUUUAGGCGUUGAAAGUAUCUCGAAGAAGCGGAUGGUUCUCGUCUGCUUUCUCAUUUCGCAGCUCCAAAGGCUAGUUUUUUUUGGGAUGAGCUCUCUUGUUUUGUCCGAAACAUUGCUUUUGGGUGGGAGAUGAAAAAUACUAUUAAAGUGGACCCAAAUCAUUGGAACCUAGUUUGAAAUGAAGUGAAGUGAUCUGGUGAUUCAGCAAUGAGGUUGAUGCCACCAAAUGCCAGAUCUUUAUGAAACGGAUAUGGACCUCGUAUACAUCAGCACAGACAUCCACACACGCAUAAUGUACAAUUAAUAAACCAGUUUCUGUGAUUUUGGAGGUCUCUAAUGUUCAAUCCAGCAAGUUCCUCUCCCAAAAGUUUCCUGCAACCGCAACAACAGAGGCAAGUCAUUUCAGGUGAAAGAUGAGAGUAUCUUAACACCAUGAGGUGGAUUUUAGGACACCUAUCUUUCAUAUGUGGAUUCGUGGUGAGGUAUGCAGUAGGAACAGUCUUUUCAAAGGUGUAGAAGGAAUAAAUUGGAUCUCAGACACGCAAAAUGGUAACGCAUAUCCUGAAAGGGAUUACUAACAUCUACACUACAUAUUCAUUCAUCAUUGCAAGCCUGUAUAACAUCUGAAGAGAACCAUCUAGAUAUCCAUUAAUCAUAAGUACUCCCUUCGUCCCAAGCUUACUUUAAUGAUAUUGGAUUUUAUGUAGUGUUAUUUAGUGUAAUAUUGGAGUGAGAAAAAAUUAGUGAUACAAGUAAUGGGUCAUCUUGGUUGGGACAAACUAAAAAGGAAAGUGAGUCAGGAGUGUGUUAUUCUAAUAUUUUGGAUAAGGAAAACAACUACAAGUUCAUCGUCUCUAACCUCAUAACUAGUAACUGAAUGACUUGACUUAAUAUAGCUUGACUUUGAGGUAUAGUGAAUUCAGGUAUGCCGAAUGUGAUGAGUGCAAUGCAGUCUGUGAACUAACCUACUUCUUUCAAUACACUAGGGUGAUGUUCAAUUCGUUAGACUAGAUAAUAGAGAUAUAGUAUAACACUCCCUCCGUCCACCAAAAAAUAGUCUCAUUUUACCAUUUUGGGAUUUCCACAAAAAAUAAUCCCAUUUCUAAAAAUAGAAAGUUUCUCUCUCGUACUUGACCUACUUUUUCUCCUAUCUCUCAUACUUUACCCGAAUUCUCUUCUCUCUCAUACUUUAUCUCACCUACUUUACCUACUUUUUUUCUACCCUCUCUUUUACUUUACUAAUUUCUCAUUAAAACCCGCGCCGUCCACAAACGAGACUAUUUUUUGUGGAUGGAGGGAGUACAGCAUAUGCCAAAAUGAGGUUUAUCUUGGGUCAAAUUAGUCAUGGGAGUGAAAAUGAGAUGAAUAAUCCCGAGAUACAUUGUCAAGAGUCGAACUUUAUGAGAAAAAAAGCAACCGAACAAGAUAAACAUGAAUCUUGCCAAUGUUAAUACCUGGCAUGACUAGUUGCAAGUAAACAUGAAUCUGCCAAUGUUAAUACCUGCUUUCAUUUACAUGAGUACCAAACAACUCCUAGGAGUCUCAGUCGCCCUAAUCUCUACCCUUUAGGUAUCACCUCCAUAGUAUGUAGUCCUUACUUGGGCCCUUCUAUGUAUGUAUAAGUAUGUGUUCCAUAUACUUGGGCCUUCAGUUUGAAGUUUUAGUAGCUAAUUUAUUACUUGGGCCAAACUGAAAUGAGCUAUUUGAGGAGCAGCCAUAGUCUAGUAAUAGCUCUUCUGUGAAUCUUAAAUUAUAACCUCUCCCUCACACGGAAACUCUAAAGAUGUUGAGCUAUUUGAGGAGCAGCCAUAGACCAUAGUCCAGUAAUAGCUCUACUGUGAAUCUUAAAUUAUAACCUCUCCCUCACACGUAAACACUAAAGAUGUUAAAGACCCAGUUUAUGCUCUUCCAAAAGUGAUAGACGUAAUCUUGACAACCUUUUGGAUCGGCCAUGGGCAGUGGAGAUUGAACCCAAUGGCUGAUAUGUUCAUUAAGGUCUUUCCACAGGUUUUUACCCUACGCAAAGCUUUUGUGAAGAAUAAAUGGAAGUGAAGUGUUGGAGAUCCCCAAGACUUGUUUAAAUGAAUUCAGAUUCCUGGCUUAACUAUUUAUUCUGCCCACGAGAAUCACUAAAAAAAUGGCCAACGAUAUUUUUCAAUGCAAUUAAGAACGUUGAUUUAUUUUAUAAA
Long non-coding RNA from Salvia splendens (bonfire salvia), 2368 nucleotides. RefSeq lists it as uncharacterized. The record is from RefSeq and is a predicted model, not a curated record. NCBI's taxonomy places the organism in Eukaryota, Viridiplantae, Streptophyta, Magnoliopsida, Lamiales, Lamiaceae. The transcript has 5 exons.